AAGGGCGAAGAGCCGUAAAAUGUCGUAAAGUCAGCAGUCACUGCGGUAUAAAUGUGACGCUCUUCUUCCGUUUCCUUUCUCCUUAACCUCCAACUCGAUUGAGGGUACGCGGGUUUGUGAAGACGUCUGAAUCAAAACUAGGGAGUUCUUGAGUUCCAUCAUGUGGUUUGAAGCCUGUUGUAACCGACAUAUGCAGUAUGGUUUUGGGUGACAUUAAGGGCCCUCCUGUGAAUGGACCGGACAGUAGGUUCCAGAACACAAUGAUUGCUCAAUCCUGGGAGGUUAUAAAUAAAAUUUGCUCCUGAGGAAGCUUGUUCAAAUGGUGUGACCUGAAAGAUGUCCACUAGGAGGCGCACCAUGCCUUUUUUUGGUGAUUGGAGGCGUAUUAGAGGUCCCAUAUGGUGAGACUGAAGAAUAAAUGCUGGCAGGGCAUAGUUCUUACACACAGUGCCACGAAAUGACAAGUUUGGAUUUGGAGUGAAGGGUUUCCUGCCAGACUCGCAAGUUGGUGCUGGUGAGGAGAUCGUACGGCAUGGGAAACUAAAACUUCAUCUGCUUUGGAGUUUUGUGGCGAUACGGUUUUCAAUAAAUCAACUCUAAAACAUA
Long non-coding RNA from Megalobrama amblycephala (Wuchang bream), 606 nucleotides. RefSeq lists it as uncharacterized. The transcript has 8 exons. The record is from RefSeq and is a predicted model, not a curated record. Lineage: Eukaryota; Metazoa; Chordata; Actinopteri; Cypriniformes; Xenocyprididae.